This 468-nucleotide ribosomal RNA is filed under the name uncultured bacterium. RNAcentral's name for it is "partial 16S ribosomal RNA". It matches the Rfam family "Bacterial small subunit ribosomal RNA", at positions 28 to 507 of the family's 1533-position model. The record is from RNAcentral.
GACGAACGCUGGCGGCGUGCUUAACACAUGCGAGUCGAACGGAAAGGCCCUGCUUUUGUGGGGUGCUCGAGUGGCGAACGGGUGAGUAACACGUGAGUAACCUGCCCUUGACUUUGGGAUAACUUCAGGAAACUGGGGCUAAUACCGGAUAGGAGCUCCUGCUGCAUGGUGGGGGUUGGAAAGUUUCGGCGGUUGGGGAUGGACUCGCGGCUUAUCAGCUUGUUGGUGGGGUAGUGGCUUACCAAGGCUUUGACGGGUAGCCGGCCUGAGAGGGUGACCGGCCACAUUGGGACUAAGAUACGGCCCAGACUCCUACGGGAGGCAGCAGUGGUGAAUAUUGCACAAUGGGCGGAAGCCUGAUGCAGCAACGCCGCGUGCGGGAUGACGGCCUUCUGGUUGUAAACCGCUUUCGCCUGUGACGAAGCGUGAGUGACGGUAAUGGGUAAAGAAGCACCGGCUAACUACGUG